Non-coding RNA from Phascolarctos cinereus (koala), 228 nucleotides. The record is from RefSeq and is a predicted model, not a curated record. NCBI's taxonomy places the organism in Eukaryota, Metazoa, Chordata, Mammalia, Diprotodontia, Phascolarctidae.
CGGGCGCAGGCCAGCAGAGGGGCCAGGCUGGGCCGGGCGGGGAAGCGCAGCAAGCCCAAGCCCCUCCCCUCCCAGCUCCGUAAUCAUGGCUUCUGACUCCACCAAGGAGCUUUCUGUGCAAACUUUGCCAGCCUGCGAAGGGAGGAGAGAAGGCUGAGAGCCCAGCCCCCUCAGCACCCUCUACGAAGUUGCUGGGACAAAUAAGUGAAGUGACCCUAAUGGCCGAAG